GAGUAACACGUGGGUAACCUGCCCAUAAGACUGGGAUAACUCCGGGAAACCGGGGCUAAUACCGGAUAACAUUUUGAACCGCAUGGUUCGAAAUUGAAAGGCGGCUUCGGCUGUCACUUAUGGAUGGACCCGCGUCGCAUUAGCUAGUUGGUGAGGUAACGGCUCACCAAGGCAACGAUGCGUAGCCGACCUGAGAGGGUGAUCGGCCACACUGGGACUGAGACACGGCCCAGACUCCUACGGGAGGCAGCAGUAGGGAAUCUUCCGCAAUGGACGAAAGUCUGACGGAGCAACGCCGCGUGAGUGAUGAAGGCUUUCGGGUCGUAAAACUCUGUUGUUAGGGAAGAACAAGUGCUAGUUGAAUAAGCUGGCACCUUGACGGUACCUAACCAGAAAGCCGCGGGUAACUACGUGCCACAGCCGCGGUAAUACGUAGGUGGCAAGCGUUAUCCGGGAAUUAUUGGG
Molecule: ribosomal RNA, 465 nt
Filed under: Bacillus sp. (in: firmicutes)
Lineage: Bacteria; Bacillati; Bacillota; Bacilli; Caryophanales; Bacillaceae
Description: bacterial SSU rRNA
Rfam family: Bacterial small subunit ribosomal RNA
Source: RNAcentral